GCCGCGUGAGGGAUGACGGCCUUCGGGUUGUAAACCUCUUUCAGCAGGGACGAAGCGAAAGUGACUGUACCUGCAGAAGAAGCGCCGGCUAACUACGUGCCAGCAGCCGCGGUAAUACGUAGGGCGCAAGCGUUGUCCGGAUUUAUUGGGCGUAAAGAGUUCGUAGGCGGUCUGUCGCGUCGGAAGUGAAAACCCGGAGCUCAACUCCGGGCCUGCUUUCGAUACGGGCAGACUUGAGUGUUGCAGGGGAGACUGGAAUUCCUGGUGUAGCGGUGGAAUGCGCAGAUAUCAGGAGGAACACCGGUGGCGAAGGCGGGUCUCUGGGCAACAACUGACGCUGAGGAACGAAAGCGUGGGGAGCGAACAGGAUUAGAUACCCUGGUAGUCCACGCUGUAAACGGUGGGCACUAGGUGUGGGGACCAUUCCACGGUCUCUGCGCCGCAGCUAACGCAUUAAGUGCCCCGCCUGGGGAGUACGGCCGCAAGGCUAAAACUCAAAGGAAUU
Molecule: ribosomal RNA, 505 nt
Filed under: uncultured bacterium
Lineage: Bacteria
Description: bacterial SSU rRNA
Rfam family: Bacterial small subunit ribosomal RNA
Source: RNAcentral